This 253-nucleotide ribosomal RNA is filed under the name uncultured bacterium. RNAcentral describes it as "partial 16S ribosomal RNA". It matches the Rfam family "Bacterial small subunit ribosomal RNA", at positions 524 to 776 of the family's 1533-position model. The record is from RNAcentral.
UACGUAGGGUGCAAGCGUUGUCCGGAUUUACUGGGCGUAAAGAGCGCGCAGGCGGUCGUUCAAGUCGCGUGUGAAAGCCCCCGGCUCAACUGGGGAGGGUCACGCGAUACUGAUCGACUCGAAGGCAGGAGAGGGAAGUGGAAUUCCCGGUGUAGUGGUGAAAUGCGUAGAUAUCGGGAGGAACACCAGUGGCGAAGGCGACUUCCUGGCCUGUUCUUGACGCUGAGGCGCGAAAGCUAGGGUAGCAAACGGG